AAUUUUAAUUGAAUUUCUAAAUACUCUUUCAAAAUAUUAGUGUAUGACCCACAUCUGGCUUACAUUAAAGAGGCCCAAAGCUAGAAUUUUUCAAGAAAGACUAAAACGGACAAAGGCCUUCAUACGAGAACAUUAUAUACUUGCCUAGCCCAAUGCAUAUUAAAUCAAAUAAUUCUAAUGGUCUAAAACAAGUGAAAGUAAUGAGUCGCGAAAAAGAUUAUCAAAGAAAUUUCAUCACGUUUAUAUCAUUAAUGAAGAUAACAUAUGAUCAGAGUAACGAAAUUCAUAUAGUUUUGCAUACAACUUCAAUAUAAACUACAGACAUCUUUAAGUUCGAAUACAUCUAUAUGAGAAUUGCAGAAUAUUCCAGAAUUGAGUUAUAACAAAAAUUAUACUCCAAAAUCCUUCACACAUAUCUUCAUAAUACCAAUUUUCCAAAUAUUCCCCUUGGAAUUUACAGAGAAUGCAUCUCUACAAGACCCUUUACCAAAGAUAGAAACUAACUUAAGUCAUAAACUAAAAAUUAAGCUACAUUAUUGCCAUAUUUGGAAUGAUUAGUCCUUGAGUCAAAUACCUUAUCGUAACAUAAAAGAUAAACCCAAAUGUUAGCGAUUAGACCAUAAAUAUAAGCAUAUGUACUUAAUAAUGCAAUAUAGACUAAUUCUUGCUAAACAUGUGAAAUCAAAUACAAUUCCAGUCAUGAAAACACUAACGAUACAAUCUGUCUUUCAUAUGUCCAUCUAUAACAUGCUUUAAAUAGUCAAAACAAAACAUUCUAUUCAUAUUUAAAGAAAGAUAGGCAACAUAUGUAAGUAAAUACCACAAAUAUUUUUAGAAAGGGAACAAUCAAUAUGUUAUUGUAGAUCGAAAUAAGGCAUGGAUGUGAACUGUGUACCUAAACUUGUACACAAGCUAAGAUUUUGCCAAAUCAAAGCUAAGAAAACCACUACUGGACGAGCUUAGCAAGGUUAAUCAAACAAAAACAUCAGAAAUCAGCAUAUAUCCGCUAUCCAUAAUAGCUUAUGAUCCAAGAAAGACACUAAACUCUGGAGAAUAAAAACACCAACCACAGCUUCAAGAACCUAUUUCUCUUCUUAUUUCCAGGAAAAAAAGAAUAACUUCAAAGACAAAAAAAGAAAGUUUACAGUUCUAAAAAUUUCUUUGAGAAUGUUCUCUCAUUUGUUAUGCUAUGAUUUCAGUCGUUUUCUCAAUCUCGACUCUUUUUUUGUGUCUAUAAUGAUUGGAAAAAUGAUGUUUUAUAGAGAAUAUUUAGGGCAACAAUGCCCGUUUUUUCCUCACUCAAAUGCACCCUUAAAAUUUUAAUUUAAUCCACUUACACCCCUGCCCAUAGAAUUUUUCCCCUCUUUUCCCUAAAAUAAUCCUUGUCAGCCUUUAUCUAGAAGCUUUCCCUUUGUUAGGUUAAGAUUCCCACAAUCCCUAUCCAAUUUGAACCCUUCAAUACCCCUGUAUUUACCCCCCUCUCCCUCCGCCCCCAUUUUACUAUUUUGACACUUAUGCCAGAUUGUGUUGGACUAACAAACUCAAGUCCAAACCUAACCCAUAAACCAAAAUAGUUCUAUGAAGAAUUAAACCAAGCUCUGACUAAUCAAAGUAGGGGUGUGCAUUCGAAUCGGUUUACCGAUAAAUCGAAUCGAUUAUUUUGUUAUCGGUUUAUUGAUAUCGGUUUAUCGAUUUAUCGGUUCGAUUUCGAUUUCAAAAAAUUUCCUUAUCGGUUUAUCGAUUCGAUUUCGAUUUUGGCAAUUCGGUUUAUCGGUUUAUCGAUAAAAUCGAUAAAGUAUAUUAAAAAGACAAUAAUACCCUUAUUUUAUAAUAAUAUUACUACCGUAUCCUUCGCUUAAAUGACGGCCCAGAUUAGCACUUUCAACAAAAUCAACGGCCCACAACAUUCACCAGCAGUAUGUAUUCCACAAAACCCUAAUUCCUACCCCUCUCGCACCAUCUCCAUCUUUGCUGCUUGUGGCGCAACACACAGCCUCCCCUCACUCUCAUUUCAUUUUGCGAAAAUGGUGACUUACCGUCUCGAUCUUGAUUUCAAUUUUCUUAACGAUUAUAUUAUUUGCUUAAUUAUAUCUGCUUAUUUUGAAAUUUAUAUGUAUUUUCAAAUGAUUACGAUUAUAAUUUGCUUAAUUAUAUCUGCUAAUUUCAAAAUUUAUAGGGUCUUUCAAAUGAUUACGAUAUGUUGAACCCGCCAGCAUAUGUUGAAAAGAGGAAGCAUAAGCUCAAACGUCUUGUUCAGUCUCCUAACUCUUUCUUCAUGGUACAUUUUUUUCCAAUGUGAAAAUGAUUUCCUGUUUAUGUAUGCUUUUAGGAUUUUAUAAUUUAUGUGUGGCUUUGUUUUCUCUGCAGGAUGUUAAGUGCCAAGGCUGCUUUAACAUGUAAGAUCUUUGUCCUUUGGUUUUAUUAUGUUUAGCUUAGUAUUUCCUAGUGUUCCAGUCUUUAUGUGGGACUAUUACUUAGAGAAUCAAAGUAUUAUGUUGUAUUAUCUCAAUAGUUUCAGCCGUGAUAAUCAAAGUGUACAGCCCGCCUCUUGGCUUAUUGGUGUUAUCGAUAAUCGAAUCGAAAAGCCCCAAAAAUCGGUAAAUCGAAAUCGAAAAAAUCGAAACCUUAUUGAAACGAUAACGAUAAGCAUAUGUAAAAAUCGAUAACCGAUAAGUAAUUAUCGAUAAGGAUAAGAAUCGAAUCGAUAAAUCGAAUGCACACCCCUAAAUCAAAGGUUAGUGACACAUUUAAAAAAAAGCUAUAAAUUACAAAUGCAAAUAUGUCUAAUUAACAAGCUAUUAACACUUAUUAAUCAAUCAUGCACAAGAAAAAAUAAUUUUUUGACAAAAAAUUAUUAUCAUAGUACGGGCAAUGAAAAAUUGGAGGAGAGAUAUACCACUUGAAUCGCCAAAAGCUUCAACAAUAAUGACUUGAUUCGAACUCCAGCAAACAAUAAUAUCGGCCAAUGAUGACAAUUGUAACAUCAACACUGACAGGAUUUUCUUCCACAACUAGUGUUUCAUGUCACAAUCCUCAACACAUGCCAAGAAAAGGACGAGGCAGAGGCUCAAGAGAAUUCGAAUACUCCAAGUAUAAGUGUCCAGAACUCGGCCAACACGAAGAUGGGUUAUGCUUACUAGUGAUCGACUCUGUCCGGUCAAAAGUAGGGGAUUCAAGUGGGUUUCAUCGUGAAUUGAGGGCCAAAUCAGGAAAAAUCAAAUAAAAAAAUAAAAUGUCCGAAAUUUUUUAUUCCUAGAUCUCUAAUUCGGAGAAAAUAAGUGGUUUUUGGAGAAAUCAAUGGUGGAAUAUAAAUGAGGGGGUGACGGAAGUUGUGUGGUUGAAAUUUGAGGGCUUUUGGAGGUGGUCCGCUGCCACAAGAUGAUUUAUGGGCGGUGGAGGAACGACAGAGCGGGCGAUGGUUGUUUUGAGAGAGAGGGUAACUACGUUUAGACUUAAUUUAAUGAGUUAUGAGGCCAGGG
Molecule: long non-coding RNA, 3479 nt
Filed under: Nicotiana benthamiana
Lineage: Eukaryota; Viridiplantae; Streptophyta; Magnoliopsida; Solanales; Solanaceae
Description: long non-coding RNA (NBEN_LNC037486)
Source: RNAcentral